ACGUUUGAUUGGGAAGUUAGGCGGGUCUGGUCAUCUCUCAAAAUAGCAACUAGGCCUACACGCGAGGGCGUUCCAUUCCCUGCCGCACCCGGAAAGCAGAACGGCAUACCAGAGGGCAAGAGUCAGGACUGCACUAGCUGCAUUGAUUUAAUCUGGAUGCAUUCUGGUAUUUGAGGACUGACCAGGACCACCAGACUCACACCCAAAGCACCGGCAUAGACAAUACAAGUGGAGUAGCAGGAGGACCCAAAAUUGAAGGCAACAGGACAGCGAAGGUGGUCACAGGAAGCGAGUGGGGAAAGAGAGACGGGGAAGGGCCGGCAAAGGACCCGGGCCAGGAAUCGAACCCGGGUCAGCAGCACAGCAAACGAGUGCCCCACUGCUUUGGGGCAUCAAAAUGCCCCAAAAUAAAAAAAUAAAAAAGAACAGGG
Molecule: long non-coding RNA, 431 nt
Organism: Engraulis encrasicolus (European anchovy)
Lineage: Eukaryota; Metazoa; Chordata; Actinopteri; Clupeiformes; Engraulidae
Exons: 4
Source: RefSeq, a predicted model, not a curated record